This 256-nucleotide ribosomal RNA is filed under the name uncultured bacterium. Its description in RNAcentral is "partial 16S ribosomal RNA". It matches the Rfam family "Bacterial small subunit ribosomal RNA", at positions 524 to 777 of the family's 1533-position model. The record is from RNAcentral.
UACGGAGGGGACUAGCGUUGUUCGGAAUUACUGGGCGUAAAGCGCACGUAGGCGGAUUUGUAAGUCAGGGGUGAAAUCCCGGGGCUCAACCUCGGAACUGCCUUUGAUACUGCAAAUCUCGAGUCCGGAAGAGGUGAGUGGAAUUCCUAGUGUAGAGGUGAAAAUUCGUAGAUAUUAGGAAGAACACCAGUGGCGAAGGCGGCUCACUGGUCCGGUACUGACGCUGAGGUGCGAAAGCGUGGGGGAGCAAACAGGG